ACUUUACAAUGCGAGAAAUCGUGAUAAGGGAACCCCGAGUGCCCGUAUGGACGGGCUGUUCAGGUGCUUAAAAACCACCUGGAGAAAGGGCCGGGCAAGACCGGUGCCAGCCGCCGCGGUAAUACCGGCGGCUCGAGUGGUGGCCACUAUUACUGGGCUUAAAGCGUCCGUAGCUUGGUCGUUAAGCCUCUGGGGAAAUCUUCCGGCUCAACCGGAAGGCGUCUCAGGGGAACUGGCGGCCUAGGGAUCGGGAGAGGUGAGAGGUACUCUGGGGGUAGGAGUGAAAUCCUGUAAUCCUCAGGGGACCACCUGUGGCGAAGGCGUCUCACCAGAACGACUCCGACAGUGAGGGACGAAAGCUGGGGGAGCAAACCGG
RNAcentral lists this ribosomal RNA (376 nucleotides) under uncultured archaeon. RNAcentral describes it as "bacterial SSU rRNA". It matches the Rfam family "Archaeal small subunit ribosomal RNA", at positions 347 to 727 of the family's 1478-position model. The record is from RNAcentral.